RNAcentral lists this ribosomal RNA (253 nucleotides) under uncultured bacterium. RNAcentral's name for it is "partial 16S ribosomal RNA". It matches the Rfam family "Bacterial small subunit ribosomal RNA", at positions 524 to 776 of the family's 1533-position model. The record is from RNAcentral.
UACGAGGGGGGCUAGCGUUGUUCGGAAUUACUGGGCGUAAAGCGCGUGUAGGCGGGCCGUUAAGUCGGGGGUGAAAGCCCAGAGCUCAACUCUGGAAUUGCCUUCGAUACUGGCGGCCUGGAGCAUGAGAGAGGCGAGUGGAAUUGCGAGUGUAGAGGUGAAAUUCGUAGAUAUUCGGAGGAACACCAGUGGCGAAGGCGGCUCGCAGGAUCAUUGCUGACGCUGAGACGCGAAAGCGUGGGGAGCAAACAGG